Molecule: small nucleolar RNA, 70 nt
Filed under: Nomascus leucogenys (northern white-cheeked gibbon)
Lineage: Eukaryota; Metazoa; Chordata; Mammalia; Primates; Hylobatidae
Description: Small nucleolar RNA SNORD19B (ENSNLEG00000033235.1)
Source: RNAcentral
GCCCGGCUGAGAGUCAAUAUUCUUCAUACCAAAGUGAAAACAUGAGAUCCAACUCUGAGUUCACCCUGUU